UACGUAGGGUGCAAGCGUUGUCCGGAAUUAUUGGGCGUAAAGAGCUCGUAGGCGGUCUGUCACGUCGGCUGUGAAAACCUGGGGCUCAACUCCGGGCCUGCAGUCGAUACGGGCAAACUAGAGUACUGCAGGGGAGACUGGAAUUCCUGGUGUAGCGGUGAAAUGCGCAGAUAUCAGGAGGAACACCGAUGGCGAAGGCAGAUCUCUGGGCCGUAACUGACGCUGAGGAGCGAAAGCAUGGGGAGCGAACAGG
Molecule: ribosomal RNA, 253 nt
Filed under: uncultured bacterium
Lineage: Bacteria
Description: partial 16S ribosomal RNA
Rfam family: Bacterial small subunit ribosomal RNA
Source: RNAcentral